CCUAGGACCAUUCACUCCAAUGUGGUAUGAGAACAUUUAUUUUCUAAUUGUUCUUGGUUUGAUGUCAAGGCGUACUCAUUCUUGAAAUCUAUGUGGCUUUUUCAGAAACACUAUGUUCCAAGAAGUUUAUUCAAGAGAGCUGGGCAUAUAGGUCCGUCAUGACUGGCAAUGCCCUACAGGACGGCUUGGUUGAUGCAAUCCGUGUAUCCCUCACGGAUCCACUUGGAACUCAUGCUGCAGACCAUCAAUUAGGUGUGGAUAACCAUACUCAAGUCUGGUAGUGCGAUGGCUCCUGUAGAACUAAUCUCUGCACAAUUUGUUUCAAUGAGCACCCAGGUAAUUCAGAUGCUCCAUUUGAUUCUUGGACACUCUCCCUGCUGCUCAUUUCACAAC
This is a long non-coding RNA of Triticum aestivum (bread wheat), 393 nucleotides long. RefSeq lists it as uncharacterized. The record is from RefSeq and is a predicted model, not a curated record. NCBI's taxonomy places the organism in Eukaryota, Viridiplantae, Streptophyta, Magnoliopsida, Poales, Poaceae. The transcript is spliced from 3 exons.